This 406-nucleotide ribosomal RNA is filed under the name uncultured bacterium. RNAcentral's name for it is "partial 16S ribosomal RNA". It matches the Rfam family "Bacterial small subunit ribosomal RNA", at positions 29 to 526 of the family's 1533-position model. The record is from RNAcentral.
AUUGAACGCUGGCGGCAGGCCUAACACAUGCAAGUCGAGCGAGCGGCGGACGGGUGAGUAAUGUCUGGGAAACUGCCUGAUGGAGGGGAAUAACUACUGGAAACGGUAGCUAAUACCGCAUACCAUCAGAUGUGCCCAAAUGGGAUUAGCUAGUAGGUGGGGUAACGGCUCACCUAGGCGACGAUCCCUAUCUGGUCUGAGAGGAUGACCAGCAAAACUGGAACUGCGACACGGUCCAAACUCCUACGCGAGGCGGCAGGGGGGAACAUGGCACAAUGGGCGCAAGCCUGAUGCAGCCAUGCCGCGUGUGUGAAGAAGGCCGGCGGGUUGUAAAGCACUUUCAGCGGGGAGGCGUUACCCGCAGAAGAAGCACCGGCUAACUCCGUGCCAGCAGCCGCGGUAAUUC